GACGGAGGAUGCAAGCGUUAUCCGGAAUGAUUGGGCGUAAAGCGUCCGCAGGUGGCAGUUCAAGUCUGCUGUCAAAGACCGGGGCUUAACUUCGGAAAGGCAGUGGAAACUGAACAGCUAGAGUAUGGUAGGGGCAGAGGGAAUUCCUGGUGUAGCGGUGAAAUGCGUAGAUAUCAAGUGGAACACCAGUGGCGAAGGCGAGUCCCUGGACACUUCCUGACACUGAGGCACGAAAGCUAGGGGAGCAAACAGG
Molecule: ribosomal RNA, 253 nt
Filed under: uncultured bacterium
Lineage: Bacteria
Description: partial 16S ribosomal RNA
Rfam family: Bacterial small subunit ribosomal RNA
Source: RNAcentral